RNAcentral lists this ribosomal RNA (904 nucleotides) under Coprinellus sp. MS432. RNAcentral's name for it is "eukaryotic LSU rRNA". The stretch from base 606 to 904 matches the Rfam family "Eukaryotic large subunit ribosomal RNA", at positions 1 to 292 of the family's 3401-position model. Lineage: Eukaryota; Fungi; Basidiomycota; Agaricomycetes; Agaricales; Psathyrellaceae. The record is from RNAcentral.
AACGAAUAACUAUGGUGUCUUGGUUGUCGCUGGCUCCUCGGAGCAUUGUGCACGCCCGCCAUUUUUAUCUAUCCACCUGUGCACCGAAUGUAGGUCUGGAUGACUCUCGCCUCCGGGCGGAUGCGAGGUUUGCGUGCGAGCGCUCUCCUCGAAUUUCCAGGCUCUACGUCUCUUUACACACCCCAAACGUAUGAUGCAGAAUGUAGUCAAUGGGCCUUUACAAGCCUAUAAAACACUAUACAACUUUCAGCAACGGAUCUCUUGGCUCUCGCAUCGAUGAAGAACGCAGCGAAAUGCGAUAAGUAAUGUGAAUUGCAGAAUUCAGUGAAUCAUCGAAUCUUUGAACGCACCUUGCGCUCCUUGGUAUUCCGAGGAGCAUGCCUGUUUGAGUGUCAUUAAAUUCUCAACCUCACCGGUUUUCUGAACCGUUCUCCGAGGCUUGGAUGUGGGGGUCUGUGCAGGUCGCCUCAGCGCGGUCUGCUCCCCUGAAAUGCAUUAGCGAGAUUCAUUCUGGACCUCCGUCUAUCGGUGUGAUAAUUAUCUACGUCGUUGACUUGGUUCGGACUCGCUUCUAACCGUCCGCGAGGACAACAUACUUGACAAUUUGACCUCAAAUCAGGUAGGACUACCCGCUGAACUUAAGCAUAUCAAUAAGCGGAGGAAAAGAAACUAACAAGGAUUCCCCUAGUAACUGCGAGUGAAGCGGGAAAAGCUCAAAUUUAAAAUCUGGCGGUCCUUGGCCGUCCGAGUUGUAAUCUAGAGAAGUGUUACCCGCGUCGGACCGUGUACAAGUCUCCUGGAAUGGAGCGUCAUAGAGGGUGAGAAUCCCGUCUUUGACACGGACUACCGAGGCUUCUGUGGUGCGCUCUCAAAGAGUCGAGUUGUUUGGGAAUGCAGCUCAAAA